GGGUUAGUAGGUUGGUCAUGCCUCUGGUAUGUACUGGUCUCACUGAUUCCUCCUUUCUGACGAACUAUAAUGCCAUUAAUUUGGUGUUAUAGGGAAUCAGGACUGUUACUUUGAAAAAAUUAGAGUGUUUAAAGCAGGCUCACGCUUGAAUACAUUAGCAUGGAAUAACGGAAUAGGACGUUUGAUUCUAUUUUGUUGGUUUCUAGGAUCGACGUA
This 216-nucleotide ribosomal RNA is filed under the name Campeiostachys nutans. RNAcentral describes it as "Elymus nutans partial small subunit ribosomal RNA". The stretch from base 40 to 216 matches the Rfam family "Eukaryotic small subunit ribosomal RNA", at positions 686 to 864 of the family's 1831-position model. Lineage: Eukaryota; Viridiplantae; Streptophyta; Magnoliopsida; Poales; Poaceae. The record is from RNAcentral.